Molecule: ribosomal RNA, 254 nt
Filed under: uncultured Lactobacillus sp.
Lineage: Bacteria; Bacillati; Bacillota; Bacilli; Lactobacillales; Lactobacillaceae
Description: partial 16S ribosomal RNA
Rfam family: Bacterial small subunit ribosomal RNA
Source: RNAcentral
AGUAACGCGUGGGUAACCUGCCCUUAAGUCUGGGAUACCAUUUGGAAACAGAUGCUAAUACCGGAUAAAAGCUACUUUCGCAUGAAAGAAGUUUAAAAGGCGGCGUAAGCUGUCGCUAAAGGAUGGACCUGCGAUGCAUUAGCUUGUUGGUAAGGUAACGGCUUACCAAGGCGAUGAUGCAUAGCCGAGUUGAGAGACUGAUCGGCCACAUUGGGACUGAGACACGGCCCAAACUCCUACGGGAGGCAGCAGCA